Molecule: ribosomal RNA, 361 nt
Filed under: uncultured bacterium
Lineage: Bacteria
Description: bacterial SSU rRNA
Rfam family: Bacterial small subunit ribosomal RNA
Source: RNAcentral
AACGAACGCUGGCGGCAGGCUUAACACAUGCAAGUCGAGCGGGCGUAGCAAUACGUCAGCGGCAGACGGGUGAGUAACGCGUGGGAACAUACCUUUUGGUUCGGAACAACACAGGGAAACUUGUGCUAAUACCGGAUAAGCCCUUACGGGGAAAGAUUUAUCGCCGAAAGAUUGGCCCGCGUCUGAUUAGCUAGUUGGUGAGGUAACGGCUCACCAAGGCGACGAUCGGUAGCUGGCUGAGAGGAUGAUCAGCCACACUGGGACUGAGACACGGCCCAGACUCCUACGGGAGGCAGCAGUGGGGAAUUUUGGACAAUGGGGCAACCCUGAUCCAGCCAUGCCGCGUGCGGGAAGAAGGCCU